This 209-nucleotide long non-coding RNA is filed under the name Prunus persica (peach). RNAcentral describes it as "long non-coding RNA (PPER_LNC002339)". Lineage: Eukaryota; Viridiplantae; Streptophyta; Magnoliopsida; Rosales; Rosaceae. The record is from RNAcentral.
UGAAGUAGUCUCGCUACUAGAUAUACAAAUUCAUGCAAGUAUUAAUAGCAACCAUGCCUAUUAAAUUAGUAUGGGAUGGGAUAGGCAUUAGUUUUUACUACAAUUAAAGUGAGUUUCAGAAUUUUGCUAAAUAACGUGGAAGAUAUAGUAAAUGAGACGAGUAGCAGUUUAAAGGGACGUCAGCCAAAGAACCAAGGGGACGAAACAAG